Molecule: long non-coding RNA, 1770 nt
Organism: Triticum dicoccoides
Lineage: Eukaryota; Viridiplantae; Streptophyta; Magnoliopsida; Poales; Poaceae
Exons: 3
Source: RefSeq, a predicted model, not a curated record
UCAACGUCACUGCAGGGUGGAAGUCUCUCGGUCUCUCCCGACUAUACAGUGAAAAAAGGGCAGGCGACGCGAGAGGGGUCUUUCCGGCGGGCCGCCGUCGGGCUCUGGGAGGUGGGCGAGACUGCGGACGGCCGCGCCGCGGUUGUAGAUAAUGGUGUUUUAGGACAUAAUUCUGGCGUUGGCGGGCAGGCGGGGCGACUUCGACGUAGUGGAAUGAGGUUCCUCCGGCUCCUUCCCCGUCGUGGCGGUGCUCCCUCUGAUGGCGCUGCGGCGCUAGGGAGGUUGGUCUCUCUCUGAUCCAGGCAUCCGGAGAGGUUUGAUCGGUGAAGGGGUGUACAGUACAGGAGUUGGGAUUUGUGGAGAGGGAUUCCCAGAUCCGGUCACCACGGACGACCGGCAGCUGCGGACUGUAUUGAACGAAGUUGUUGGAGCUGCUCCUUCACUCCGGCGUAGGCUGGUGCUGGUGGCAGCUUCAAGGAAGGGGAGCACGGGGUACCCCCGGCUGAUGCACCGAACCCGCCCCUGGUUCCGUCUUUUGCUUCGGGACUUAUAUGCGGCUCACAAAGCCAUGGAUUGGCGAUAGUGCUCCUCAUGACCAUCGUCUCGUGGACGACGACUCUUCCUCUCACCGGCGGGUGCACAGAUCGGCGUGCUUCAGUGAAGAAGGAAGAUGAGCUAGGCUCAAUGGAGUUUAGCACGGGUUUUUCCUCCAUGAGUAGGCCACCGAGGAUAUCUGCCAGUGGCGACCUGCUCGUCCCGAUGCCUACGGUGCACUGAGGGUAGGUGUCGUCUUUCCCUAUCGUGCUGCAUACGGAAGCCCCAGUCUCGAAAUCUCAGGAUGAAAAAAGAAGAAAAAGAUGAUUCAGUUAUCAAGAGGAUGUCUGAACUCUGAACUUGAAGGACAGGAAAUAAAACAUGAGGAUAAUGGAAGAGAAGAAGAAGCAGACAUUAGGAUAAUGAAAGAAAGGAGUAGAUAAUGAGGAUGGUACUGAAAGAGAAGACGAGACGUACCUUGGCUAAGUGAAGAUCUAGACCUGAAAUUGCUAAUAAGGGGAAUGAGGUCCCUUUCUCUAUCGGUGCCAUCUUAGCUGCCGUCGAUUAGGUGCAUAUUUAGCGAGGUAAUCUCGUUCUAACAUGUCUCUGAUUUUGAUUUUUCCUGCGGAUUUCAGAAUAUAGAAGGCAGCUUCGCAGAGGGGUCACUGACGAGCAAGAUGAGGCCACUGCGUCUAUUCUUGUGUUCGUUUGUUUCAAAGAGAUCACACUAAUUUCUCUCAGUAUAUGUCUCUGCAGAGAAAUAAGUCCUGGAGCCGCUUCAGUUAAGACUAUUGAUCUAGAAUUGGCCGUAUGUUCAUGAACAAUUUUCUGUUGCUAAAAUAAAUCCUGGAGCAGGCUUCAGUGAGGACUACAGAUCAAGAAGUCUGUAUGUUCAUGAAUAAUUUUCUGUUGCUCAGGCCAGAGUUGUUUCGCAAGUUCAGAAUCCACCACAAGGUUUCAACACUCAACUAUGUAUCCUUAGCUCCUUCAGAUUCAGCAGCAUGAACGUUUUGAUUCAGAAGGAACGUAGUCUUCCCAAUAGCUCAUACUGAUUCUGGUCUUCAUGAGUGGGCGACGGCGGACCAGCAAGUGGGCGGGUGGGGCCAGCGACGACGGCGCACGGCCUGAGUGGUGAGCGACGGUGACCAGGCUAGCAGCGCGAGCAGGGUAGCGCUCUGUUCCUGUUAGGUCCAACCCGAUACAUAAUCAGCUAGCUUCAGGGGCGCUACAGUCCUG